GUGAAUCAUCGAAUUUUUGAACGCAAAUUGCACUUUCUGGUAUUCCGGAAAGCAUGCCCGUUUGAGGGUCAGUGAAAACAAAAUCGGUGUGGCAGCUGAAACUAGUGGUGAAGAAUCGGACUUGAGUUGAUUUUGUCAUUUGGUAUAAGUGACAUAAAAAUCGAAAGUUUAUUGAACGUAUUUAAAUUAUAUACGUACGUUCAUA
RNAcentral lists this unclassified non-coding RNA (205 nucleotides) under Glomus sp. RNAcentral describes it as "partial contains 5.8S ribosomal RNA and internal transcribed spacer 2". The stretch from base 1 to 71 matches the Rfam family "5.8S ribosomal RNA", at positions 84 to 154 of the family's 154-position model. The record is from RNAcentral. Lineage: Eukaryota; Fungi; Glomeromycota; Glomeromycetes; Glomerales; Glomeraceae.